AAGUCGUAACAAGGUUUCCGUAGGUGAACCUGCGGAAGGAUCAUUAUUGAAUGAAUUUAGGAGUUGGUUUGAUGCUGGCCGACAACCCCAAGGGCAUUGUGCACGCCUUCUCCUUCAUCCACACACACCUGUGCACUUGUGAGAUGCGAGGAUUAAUUUCCUCCGUCUACUAAUCACACAAACUCAUUGUAAUUGAACUGAAUGUAAUUGAUGUAACACAUCAUUUGAACUAAGUUUCAACAACGGAUCUCUUGGCUCUC
This 260-nucleotide unclassified non-coding RNA is filed under the name Ceratobasidium sp. RNAcentral describes it as "partial contains small subunit ribosomal RNA, internal transcribed spacer 1, and 5.8S ribosomal RNA". The stretch from base 1 to 46 matches the Rfam family "Eukaryotic small subunit ribosomal RNA", at positions 1786 to 1831 of the family's 1831-position model. Lineage: Eukaryota; Fungi; Basidiomycota; Agaricomycetes; Cantharellales; Ceratobasidiaceae. The record is from RNAcentral.